GGCGGACGGGUGAGUAACGCGUAAAAACCUGCCCUUGGGAGGGGAACAACAGCUGGAAACGGCUGCUAAUACCCCAUAGGCUGAGGAGCAAAAGGAGGAAUCCGCCCAAGGAGGGGCUCGCGUCUGAUUAGUUAGUUGGUGAGGCAAUGGCUUACCAAGGCGACGAUCAGUAGCUGGUCCGAGAGGAUGAUCAGCCACACUGGGACUGAGACACGGCCCAGACUCCUACGGGAGGCAGCAGUGGGGAAUUUUCCGCAAUGGGCGAAAGCCUGACGGAGCAAUGCCGCGUGAAGGCAGAAGGCCCACGGGUCAUGAACUUCUUUUCUCGGAGAAGAAAAAAUGACGGUAUCUGAGGAAUAAGCAUCGGCUAACUCUGUGCCAGCAGCCGCGGUAAGACAGAGGAUGCAAGCGUUAUCCGGAAUGAUUGGGCGUAAAGCGUCUGU
Molecule: ribosomal RNA, 443 nt
Filed under: uncultured organism
Description: bacterial SSU rRNA
Rfam family: Bacterial small subunit ribosomal RNA
Source: RNAcentral